GCGGCCGUGGCGGAAUUGGUAGACGCGCUAGCUUGAGGUGCUAGUGGGGCAACUCGUGGAGGUUCGAGUCCUCUCGGCCGCA
Molecule: transfer RNA, 82 nt
Filed under: Afipia sp. P52-10
Lineage: Bacteria; Pseudomonadati; Pseudomonadota; Alphaproteobacteria; Hyphomicrobiales; Nitrobacteraceae
Rfam family: tRNA
About the family: Transfer RNA (tRNA) molecules are approximately 80 nucleotides in length. Their secondary structure includes four short double-helical elements and three loops (D, anti-codon, and T loops).
Source: Rfam by way of RNAcentral